This 5511-nucleotide unclassified non-coding RNA is filed under the name Limulus polyphemus (Atlantic horseshoe crab). RNAcentral's name for it is "nuclear factor NF-kappa-B p105 subunit-like, transcript variant X2". The record is from RNAcentral. Lineage: Eukaryota; Metazoa; Arthropoda; Merostomata; Xiphosura; Limulidae.
UGAGAGUAAGUAGAGAGGUCUUGGUUGUUGAUUAGACAAGUCAUACAAUUUUCAUAAUUUGAUGACUAGGAACGGACUUGUAUAGUUUGAGACAGUGAGUCUAAUAGUUUGUUUGUUUGAAUUUAUGCACAAAGCUACACAAUGGGCUAUCUGUGCUCUGCCCACCACGGGUAUCGAAACCCGGUUUCUAGCGUUGUAAGUCCGCAGACAUACCGCUGUGCUACUGGGGGGCGAGUCUAAUAGUAAUAAAUUUUGGAGACGGCCCGAAUGGGAUAACAAAGAAGACAAGUUUAACAUAGUAACAAAUGUACAACGUCUCAACCAAAUUGAUCAUGACAGUUGUAUAAUAUUACUACUAGUACAUUAAUAUUACUGUACUGAAUUUGCUGAAACCUGUGGAGUAUAAAAUAUUAAAUGUGAAAUCUCGAUCAAUUUUUACAAAUUAGACUGAAAUUUUAGUGGCAUUGUAACGAGUAUUAGUAAUCUUUUUAAAAAGUUACCCAAUGAAUUUGGAUUUAGAGAGUUAAUUCCGUUUUCAUUUAAAUUUAUUUCCGUAGUUGACAAUGAUGUGAACUCGCUAAAGCUGUAUUAUAUUUAUAAUAUACGAUAAAACAGGUAUACCAUAUUUACAACUUUAUUACAAGAACUGAAACUUUGAAAGUGAAACUGAAUCAUAAUGAUCAGCAAUCAAGAUCGUUCAAAAUAUCGUGCGUAAGCCUUAAAAAGCUAAAUGAUGUCAAGCGUUUUUGAUAUUUGAGUUUGACUAGAACAGUACUGAAUCAUUGAAUGCCUAAUUGAGCAAUUCAAUCUUCAAAAGUAGUUCAGGUAGCGAAAUACAGUAUAAAGACAGCAGAUGUAUUCUCUUAUUCAACUGUUUCGAGGUCCGGAAAGGACUGAACAAGAUCAACCAACUACAGAGAACCAAGCGAUUCUUAAAAUUAUUGAACAACCAACAAACAGUAUAAGAUAUCGGUAUAAAAGUGAAAAAGGAUCACAUGGUGGUUUAACAGGGAAGAGUAGCACCACUUCAAACAAAACAUAUCCUACAGUAAAGAUUGAAAACUUUCAGCCUCAACAUAAUCAACAAGUGUAUGUUAAGGCCACUUUGUACUCAGUUGGUGAUGAACAAAAACCUCAUGUUCACAAGUUGAUGGGGAAGGACUGUGAUUCUGAAGGAACCUGCAAUAUGAAGCUGAAUAGUAAUGGAACUGCUAGACUAGAAAAGACCUUCAUACAACAUGUAGGAAAGGAAGGAGCCAUUCAGGCCUUAGGAGCAAGGAAAACAAAAGAAAACUGCUGGCACCAUGAUACUCAGAAAUGUAAGUUACGGGAAGAUGUUGAACAGGAGGCCAAGGAUAUGGACUUAAACAGAGUCAGAAUCUGUUUCAUGGCAUUUGUCAGGAACCCUGCUUGUCCUGGUUAUUGCCAGCCUCUCUGCCAACCUGUUUUUUCAGAUAUCAUUGCAAAUCAAAAAUGCCCUGAUGUUGGUGAACUAAAGAUUACUCGAAUUAGCAAAUACACUGGGUUUUGUACUGGGAAUGAAGAAGUGUUUCUUCUCUGUGAAAAAGUCAAUAAAAAGGACAUCAAGAUUAGGUUUUUUGAAGAAGACAGAGAGGGAAAUAUUUUGUGGGAAGGUUGUGGAGAUUUUUCAGAAAAUGAUGUUCAUCACCAGGUUGCAAUUGUGUUUCGAACACCAGCCUAUAAGGACCGCAAUAUCAAGGAAGAUGUGAAUGUCAAAAUUCAACUUUACAGGCAAAAAGACAAUCAUUGUAGUGGAAACAUAGAUUUUCUCUAUACUCCUGCUGAAUAUGAUAGAGAAGAAGUAAAACGAAAGAGACAAAAGAUAAGUGGCUUCCAAGAACUUCACGAGCCCCAUGAUUUAGGUUUGUUGUUACAGACAGGUGCUAGUAGCAGUGGAUCUAGUUGGUCUGAUACAAGUACAUUGGGAAGUUUUGUUGGUCACAGUCAGUGUUCAGGCAGUAAUCGUGAAGAGCAGGUUACCAGCAUGUAUACUAUGGACAUACUAAACAAAGCUUGCAUGGAAAUUGGUCUAGUGAAAAAUCCUAUUACUAAGAUUUCUUCGAAUCCAGUGUUCAGUGAAAUACAAGGCCAGAGCAAGAGUUUUGACAGUAAUCUAGAAGUACAGUCUACCAGUUUCAACAUUCCAAACAAUGAUUGGUUGAAAAAUGGUUUAGGGGAAGGUUCUAUCCUAGAUUAUCCUUUCAGUCCAGUGUCCUUUGAAGUACAAUUUGAUCCAGAUUCUCUUCUGAAUCAAGUUGAAAGUGACUCUGUAACUACGUCUGGAGUUGAUAGUGAUAUUCAAAGAUAUCUUGAAUGUAAGGUUCAGGAUCUUACUCUUAAUGAAAAGAUUUCUGAAGAAGUGAAGGAUGAACAAAGACAAAAUUAUGUUCCUAGUCAUCUUCAAAAAAAUGUACCACAAGAUGUCAACCAUUUUUAUACUCAAUCCAAAGAAUGCAUAAAGGGCAGUGUAGAAAUUGGUUUGGUACCUGUAGAAAACAAAGUAAAGCUUAUACCUGAACACAUCAUGAAGCAAAAACCCAAACUUGAUCCAGUACCACUCAUGACUAUAGAUAAUAGCAAUUCAUAUAACUCUAAACAGGCAAUUCAUAUUACGAAGCAGGAGUCUAGUUCUGAAACUAGACGUGCAGAAACAGAGGGGCCAGAGGAAGGAACAGACAUGAGUAACUUAGCUGAAAACAUUAUCAAACAACAGCAAUAUGCUGAAGAUGAAAAACAAGAAAAAAAUGUAAAUAUAAGUUUGGAGAAGUUCAUCACACAAUCAGUAGAACCAACUGGUGAAGAUGUAGAAGCCAGUGAGAAAAGACAACAUAGACACUCAAUAAAAAUUGAGGACAAAAAUUCUGAAAAAAUUCCCCUACCUUCUGGGUUACCUGCUGUGAAACAACUAGCUCUCAGGAUGAGUUUAGCAUUAAGAGCAUUUGUUGUUACUGGAGAUCUAAGAAUAUUAUUAAUAACUCUUCGUCAUCUUGUAGCUGUACAGGAUGAAGAAGGAGAUAAUGCUCUCCACCUAACAAUUAUUCAUCAAGCUAAGCAACAUGUUCAGCAACUAGCUCUGAUUCAUUGUCUCCUGCAUGUUCUCGAAGGACUUCCAGGACAAGUCAUCAAUCAGUGUAACAACUUACAUCAAACACCACUGUUCUUAGCUGUGGUAACAGGAAGCUACAAAGCUAUCCCCCCCUUGCUGUUGAAUGGUGCUGACCUUAAUGUUGCUGAUAAUGAAGGAAAUACACCAGUACAUGUAGCUGUCAAGAAAGGGGAUGACACUGCCCUUACCCUGCUUCUUGAAAGAAAUAACUGUUCUCAGCAUAUUUCUCCAGUUGUUAAUCUAAAUAAAUUGAAUUAUGAAGGGUUUGCUCCUCUUCACCUAGCAGUACUGUAUAAUAGAGAAAGAUGUAUUGACAGACUGUGUGAAAGUGGUGCUAAUGUUAACAUAGCAGAUGGUACAAGUGGGAAUACAGCACUACAUCUUGCUGUAGAACAUCAACCUCAUCUUGUUAGGGGAUUAUUGAAAAAGAAUGAUGUGGACAUAGAUGCCCAAAACUUUUCAGGAAAUACUGCCCUUCAUCUUGCCUGCACUCGAGGCCUCAGAAACAUUGUUAUAGCAUUAAUGGAAGCAGAUGCUAAUCCUCUGAUUCAAAAUUUUGACAUGACUUCCUGUUCUAGCCAGUGUGGCUGUGAAUCUUUAGAAGGAGACAUUACAUGUAAUAACCAUGAAGGGAAAACAGCAGUUGACUUGGUAGAAGAUAACUUUGAAUUCAAACAGAUUUUAGCUGGGGAAAUAAAAUAUCCACCACAAAGAUCUCCUCAGCAGAUGUCAUCAUCAUUAACUGAAUUGAGGAACGAUGGUUCUUUUCCAACAGUCAACCCAGAAGUAACAAAAUUUGAUUAUAUGAGAAAACAACAAGUCUUCUUUGACAGUGCUAAAGUGGACUGUGCUCAGCAACUUAAGAUGUUUGACUCAGGAUAUGCUAGUGGAGAAAUCCAUGAGAUGAAAGAUAAAAAACUGGAAGUUCUCUGUGCUGAGCUAGAUAAAGAUAAUCAGUGGAAGAGUCUUGGACCCUUCCUUGGUUUUGACGAGCAUAUGUUAACCUCUAUUGAGAAAUUUUGUCACAAGAACAGAAGCCCAUCAAAAGAUAUUAUAGAAAAAUUUCAAAAAAACAUAAAGGCACAAGAGGAGAAAAGCUCUCCAGGUAUAGCAGAUGAUGAAGCUUUAAAAAAUGCACUCAAGCUUGCUGGCUUGGAAAAAAUAUUGGAAAAAUAUGAAAGAGCAGAGACUGAAAGUGCAGUUUUCUAAAAAAAGGAAAGACAUUUUGAAGCUUGCUGCAUAAUUUUAUCAUUUGAUCUAAAUAGAGUUUGAUGAAUAUAUAGUUGUGAAAUGAUAAUGAUGUAAAAUUCUUGAAGAGAUUUGAGGAGCUUAAGAUUAAUGAAUAGGAAUUUUAGUAAUAUAACAACCAAUAAAUACAAACUUGAUGAUGAUAUGAUUACCAUAAAAUAUAUUUUAAUGUUUAAAGUAUCCUUAAUUGAUAAUUUCUAGUAGUGUAUGUGGUUAUGGAUUUCAUAGUUAAUGUUUUGGCUUAUUUUUUGUAUUUAAUAUGUGGAGAAGAAAUAGUGCUUGGUUACCAUUUGUCUUUUUUUUAUGCAUUAAGCCUUUCAACAUUAGAUAAAUUAAUAUUACUUAACCCAGUUACUAGUUGUUAUCAUGGUGGCAACAGUGCCGUGCUGCUAAAUUUAUUUAAAUAAACUAUUCCAUGUUUUUUAGUAUAUUUUGUUAUCAACCAGUUUGUUGCCAAUUAUGCAAACAGACUUAUCAAAGAAAUUUUGCAAAAAAAUAAGACUUGUUUAGGUGAAGGCUACAAAACAUAAAUAAGUCAACUCAUAUUAGGCCCAACACAUGGCAAGAAGCCUCCAGUAGUGAGAAGAUUACAAACUAGGUUAAUUAAAAUAGUGAGAAGCUGGAAUCAAGCACUGUGGAGUUAACAAAGCAAUGGUAAACUUGAAGUUUUGGAUUUAAUGUUUAGGAGUUGUUAAUAGGGACAGUAUCAGUAUCAUUAGAAAUACUGUAAUUCUUUUAAAAUCAUCAAACACUGAAGAGUUCACUUGCUUGAUAGCCCCAGCAAUACUAAUAACACAACAUAUGAUGGUGUAGCAGUUUGCUAGGUUUUGUUUUGAACAUGAUAUUUAUAUCUUUAAAGGAGAUUUUUGGAGGUAUUUUAUGUAUUGUAUGUGUAAUUUAUUUUUCUGUGAUUCACGAGUUAAAAAUUAAGAAAAUAGUGAACAUUUUUUGGUGGCAAUGAGAUAAAUGUAUGAUCUUAGGUAGAGCCGGCCUGAUUAGUGGAAUUGGGUAUUCCAUUAAUCCUCAAGCUCAUUAAGUGAUUACACUCAACCAAUUGAUUAUUAUCACAUGAGACUUGGAUUGUUGGAAACACUAAUUUUAAUUAGAUGAUUAUUUUCAUGAGUUUUGGAUGGUUG